Long non-coding RNA from Glycine soja, 642 nucleotides. RefSeq lists it as uncharacterized. Lineage: Eukaryota; Viridiplantae; Streptophyta; Magnoliopsida; Fabales; Fabaceae. The transcript has 3 exons. The record is from RefSeq and is a predicted model, not a curated record.
CCAGAUCCAUAUUUUCUGAAUUUUUAAAAUUAAAAAAAUCCUGAAAGGAUAGGGAGCACGUUAUUCCCUCUUCAGUCUCUCCGUUCUUUCACGCGACUUCCCUCUUCAACAACGCCACUCCCUUUAUCACGACGGAGGUGACGACCGGAGGACGGCGCUUCCUACUUCGUUUUCUGGCACGGUCCGAGUUCUCUCUUCACUCUUCAGUCAUCUCUCCCCCUUUUCCGGCACUGUCCGAGGCGGUCUCACUUCUCUCUCCCUUUUCCGACGAGGUCACCAUUGUUUUUUUGAUGGUGAGUAGAGUCAUCAGCUACUUGUAAUUCAUUGGUGUCUCUGGGUGAGCUUGGGCGAGGGACACUGCAACUUCUGAUGGGCAAGCCAUUGCGUAAGUGUCUAUUGGGAGAUUAGUUGGAUAUGUUUUUGUCCCUUAUGGUUUCAGUAUUCGUGAUUAAUUUUAUAGCUUCUGGUGAGACCGACACUGCAACUUCUGAUGGGCAAGCCAUUGCGGAUUCAGUAUUAGAACAUCUUGUGCGGAUGGUGCAGUGUCGCGGAUUGUUUUCUACCCACUAUCAUCGAUUAGCUGUUGAUUAUCUCAAAGAUCCAAAAGUAUUACCAGUUUUUUAUCCGGUGUAAUCAUCAGUG